This 253-nucleotide ribosomal RNA is filed under the name uncultured bacterium. Its description in RNAcentral is "partial 16S ribosomal RNA". It matches the Rfam family "Bacterial small subunit ribosomal RNA", at positions 524 to 776 of the family's 1533-position model. The record is from RNAcentral.
UACGGAGGGUGCAAGCGUUAAUCGGAAUUACUGGGCGUAAAGAGUACGUAGGCGGCUUUACAAGUCGGGUGUGAAAGCCCUGAGCUUAACUCAGGAACUGCAUUCGAUACUGCCAAGCUUGAGUACUAGAGAGGGAAGUGGAAUUCCUGGUGUAGCGGUGAAAUGCGUAGAUAUCAGGAGGAACACCGGUGGCGAAAGCGGCUACCUGGCCUGGUUUUGACGCUGAGGCUCGAAAGCGUGGGGAGCAAACAGG